AAAACUUCCCGCCAAAGUGUUUCAAAUAGCACUUUGUCUUCAAACGAACAAGAUGGACACAAUUUACAGAAGCAAAAGAUUUACGAUGUAAACUUUGAAACUGUUCGUGAAGCCACAAAAACCCAAGGUAAAUAUUCACCCCUUGAUAUGCUUCCAGGUUAUUUUCAUUAUAUGGAUCAUUCAGAACACCGCUUUUAAAAUCUUUUCUCAAAAAUUUUGGAUAUGAAAACAGAAGACCAUCUGAAGAAAUUUGAGAAGCUGGCUCGUGUUCAUUUAUCGUUCGAAAUAUGCAUGAAAUAUUUGCCACUGGACGUUAAGCAACCAACAAUAAACUAGACUGGGUUGAUGCAGUCAUGAUUUGUCAACUUUGCAAUAGCAAAUAUAUUGAUGUUUGUAAAAGUCACACCAACUGAAAAGGAAUAUUCAUUAAUAUAGAUAGCAUAUGUUUUGCUCAACUAUCGAUAGCAAAGUUUUGAAAAUUCUUAUUUUAUUUUUUUCGUAUUUUACUGAUAAAUGGACUUAUAUUUUUUUACAGUUAACAUGAAGAUGCAGCCUGGGGUUGAAGUGUAUAUAUGAUUAAGCUAUAUUUCAAAAGGUAGAAGAACUUGAUUCUUCAUAUCUGUCCUUGGUCCACUUUUUAGUUUAUCAGUUUUCGUGGUCAAACUUAAAAAUUUGAAUGCAGGUUCUUUGAGCCUCAUGCUUCAGAUUUUACUGUUCUUUAACAAGUUAAAAAGAAUUCCCUUGAGGGCAAUUCUUUGUUAUCUGAGCAAAAUUCAGUUACAUAUUUUUUUGCAAUACUUUUGUCAGGUGAAAAUAUUUGGCUACACGGCUGGUUACUCAAGUGUGAAGUGAGUAGAUUUGAGUGUAUAAAUUAUCAUGUGAUCAACAGGUUUGAAUUGGGCUUCAUUUUUAGUUUAAAUUGAUCUUUACUUGGACAAACCCCUGUGUUUUUCCUUAAAAAUUUUUGGGGACAUCAAAUGAGUUCAAAGUUAUAGAAGAUUUAAGGUAUCAUUUAUUUAUCAUAAAUUUCUUUAAUGUGAUCUGUUUUGUUUGAUUUACUACUAGAGAUGUAAAACAUCUUCUUAAUGUCUGUGCAUGUCUAUAUAUACAAGCUUUACUUGAGUUACAGCAUAGAGCUUUUACUUUAACCAUUUAAGAUUCAUGAUUGAUUGUUGGUUGCAUAAUGUCCAGUGGCAAAUAUAACAAGAAGAAUAGAGCUCACAUUCAUGUAUCUGUCUAGGGAACAAUUAACAGUUUAACCAAUCAAAUUUGGGUAAAGUUUUUGAACUGGUUGGCAAAACUUACUGAAAACGUCUAUGUUGAAAACCUUGUAUUGUAGGGUCAAUAGACUCAAAAAUAUUGAGUCUAUGGGAGCAACAUUGCUAAAUCAAAAAAUUUCCCAACAAAACUUUAGGGAAGGUAUGGGUACAGUAAACACACAUACUUUUUUGUUUGCAACAUAUUUUCUGGAAUAAUUUUAAUAUUAAAUGUUUCUUUUCAGUACUUUGACACUACAAACUUAGUCAUCUAAAAUCUAAAUUGGUAUUCAGAUGCAUCUAGGAAAGCAAGACAGUAUAUCAACUUCAUUUCACAAACAUGUUGAUUUUCCCUUGAUACAGUAGACCAAGUGAAUACAGGUAUAGUCAAAUAGUUUAUUACAAAACUUAAUCAAUUUUUUUUUUACCAUCCGGAUUACUAGCAGGUUUAUCUGAUAAUAUAUUGUACUAUAUGUAUAUAUUAACAAUUAGAUUGUAAGUUUCUGUGGUGAUCUAAACUAAAUAUACCUAAAAAAAAAAUUCAUAAAUGUUUGAGACCGAAAGCUUCUGGAUUAGUUUUUUGAUGAUGAAUUUCUCCAAAAAUUCUUUUUUGAUAAACUUUUCUCAGAUUUGACUAUUAUUAUGAUUUGGACAUUAAAGUAUAACAGCGGUAUUCAUCUUUGAUAGACCUAGUGCUACAGUUUAAUAGGUAAACAAAGAAUAUGCACACAGGAAUAUCCAUCCAGAACACAAAAUCAGUACAUAGACAGCAUAAAUAAACGAACAAAAGAAAGGAACAGUGCUUUUAUUGCUGUUCUUCAUCUCAUACAUAAUCAAUUUGCACAAAAUUUAUCAUUUUCACUCAAAAGUUUGAAUAAGUUUUAAAAAAAAAUUAAAUGUAUGAUGAAAAUAUACUUUUUGUUGCUAUUGAUAUACAAGUCAUUUAUACAGACAUACAUUUUAUCAAUGAAAUUUAUCAUUAUAAGUUAUAAUAAGGUAAUAUAAGUUAAGUACUCUUUUUUAGCUCACCUGGCCUGAAGGGCCAAGUGAGCUUUUCUCAUCACUUGGCGUCCGUCGUUGUCGUCUGUAGUCUGUCGUCGUUAACUCUUACAAAAAAUCUUCUCCUCUGAAAAAUACUGGGCCAAAUUAAACCAAACUUGACCACAAUCAUCAUUGGGGUAUCUAGUUUUAAAAAUGUGUCCGGUGACCCGGCCAACCAACCAAGAUUUAUAAAGAAUGAUAAAUAAUAUAGAGUUUUAAGUUCCAUUCUUUCAUAUUUAUUAAAAAGAAAUGAUGUUUUAGAGGAGCCAACAACUGAGCAGAGAGCAGAAGAGAGAUUGAUGACCUUGAAGAGUAAGCAAUGUGAACAGUAAGACAGCUGUUAAGUAUAUCUGGGGUUACCAAAUAUUAUGGUAAGAACCUCAUCUAUAAUCAAACUUGGUGAGUAUUCUUUUUGUUGGUUAGAUAUUAUGCAUCAUUAUGAAAAAAGGGGGAUGUAGGGUAGGGUAUAAAUCAACAAGGCAGCUACCCAAUGAAAAUAAAUAACCAAAGACAUCUACAGGUCUUCAACUAUAGACUGAUGUUUAUACAAUACAUGAACUUGUAAUAAUCAUCCAAAGUCUAAAAGAUUUGUGAAUAAAAUGAACAGACUAACAAAUAACUUACAUACACACCAAUAUCUGACCUAAGCACAUGAGCAUGUUGCAGGGUGAAACUUUUUUAUAUAAAGCCCACCCUUUUUGUGCAAUGCCUAACCAAACUACAAAAUUUCAUACAGAAAACUUUUCAAAUUGAAGGGUUUCAAAUUUUGAAUAAGCUAAUUUGUUUCUUUAAAAAAAAAAAAAAAAUGCCAGAUGCAAUUAACAAACAACAAAAUAUUUGGAAAUCUUGACUCCCCCGCAAGAGAAAAAUGUCACUCUUAUUAUUGAGGAAAAUGGCCACUACCUCAAUGGUCUUUAAAAUUAAUUCAGUUGCUCUGGUCAUUUUUCAAAAUUUAACAAGUGAAUGGAGUUGUUUUGAUGAAGCUUACCUUUAAUCAAUGGGAGAUAACUGUGACCACAUGGAUCAUAAUUCUGAAAACUUAUCCUGAAAUCCUGGGCUUAAAAACUCGAAAUCCUGAGGUCCCGAAUUUAAAUAAAUUUAAAUCUGCAUCCCGAAAUUUGAAAAAAGAAUUCCCGGAUCUUGAAAGGGUCAAUCCCGAAAUCCCGAGCUUAAAAACACCCAAUCCCGGAGUCCCGAUAAAGGUCCUAUCCCCCCUCAUAUCUAUAAUUGAUAACUAAGAUAAAAGAAAUACAGAAAUUGUUUACAUUAAAUUGCCUUUUGCCAUGCUUACAUCAACAAAAGAUUUUUUUUUUCAUUUUCCAAAAUAAAUUCCAAGGCUAAGAUGUAGGAUGCCAUUCUUCUAACAAAAUACCACAGCAUGGAGACCCAAAUCAGCACACUAAAAUGUCCAAUGUGUGUCCUACAUCUUGAAAUAAAUAUCAUUUUAUAAAUGUUCAAAUAUCUUCAAAAACAUUUAAUAUUAAUUUUUUUUACUCAUUUCUACUCUGUUGAGACUAUUUCACUAGCACUGCACUUUGACUUUGACUAAGAC
This 3849-nucleotide long non-coding RNA is filed under the name Mytilus galloprovincialis (Mediterranean mussel). Lineage: Eukaryota; Metazoa; Mollusca; Bivalvia; Mytilida; Mytilidae. The record is from RNAcentral.